AGUUGAGACCCAGGCAGCCUUGUAAAUCUGCUGCCCCCAAAUCCAGAUGAAAAGAAACACAGAUUUAACACUGACUUCUCCUUGAACCAGCUGAUAAUUUUUUUUAAUGAACUUCUACUCCAUCGUCUCCAGUUCUCCAAGGAAUGAGUGCUCUGACAGCGCAGACAAGGACCAGAUGUCCGGUGGAGGGUCAGUCUGUGCUGCCUGCUCCAAUCUGGCCCUGGAGACGUGAGGGAGGAUCGCCGGGAGACAGUUGUAUGUAGUCCAAAUCUUCCUCGAGAGCCAACUUGUCAUGGAUUCCAUCCCCAAAUUCCAGAGUUUCUCAAACAAAAGGAGCCCUGGUGAGAACGGAGCUGCAAUUGGCCAGUGGGAGAGACAUGGAGAUCGCCAAGAGUGGGAGCACCCUUUCAGAUGGUUCGGUCCAAUCCUCCUCAUUUUGUACAUCAAAAAAAA
Long non-coding RNA from Artibeus jamaicensis (Jamaican fruit-eating bat), 453 nucleotides. RefSeq lists it as uncharacterized. The transcript is spliced from 3 exons. Lineage: Eukaryota; Metazoa; Chordata; Mammalia; Chiroptera; Phyllostomidae. The record is from RefSeq and is a predicted model, not a curated record.